This is a long non-coding RNA of Callithrix jacchus (white-tufted-ear marmoset), 2927 nucleotides long. NCBI's taxonomy places the organism in Eukaryota, Metazoa, Chordata, Mammalia, Primates, Cebidae. The record is from Ensembl.
GUGAAAUACUCACCACAAACGUGCUAAUAAUCAACAUUUCAAUCACCUCCGGUAGUUACCAUCUUCUUCUUUUCUUUUGAUGAGAACACUUAAGAUCUCCCUUCUUAGCAGAUUUCAAGUAAACAAUACAGUAUGGUUAACUAUAGCCACUGUUGUGGAGUGGGAGGUGGGGGAAAGUUAGUCAAGGGCUACAAAGUUUCAGUUAUUCAAAACAAGGAUAUAUUUAUACACAGUUCUUUAAAAAAUUCAUUCUUCUUAGUGCAUAAUGGACAUUGUUAGCUCCAAAAUUCAUGAUCUGUUAUAUUACAGGCAACUUAUUUUUUUUUAAAAUUAUUUCUCUUUUUUUCUGUCUCCCAGGCUGGACUGCAAUGGUGCAAUCUUGGCUCACUGAACCUCCGCUUCCUGGGUUCAACCAAUUCUCCUGCCUCAGCCACCCGAGUAGCUGGGAUUAUAGGUGCCCACUACCAGGAACACAUUUUGCCAGUAGACCAUACUACCAUACUACCACAAUGAAAUAGUAUCCAAGAGUUACAAAUCAGACAGAGUGAAGAAGCUUCAGAUCCAGAACCAACAGCAGGCACAGAAAAAAAAGAAAAAGGAAAACGAAGCUGAAAGAAAUGCCUGUUUUCUUUAGUCAGCGGUCCAGAAAAGGAUGGCCUAGCAUCAGAAAAUACUUUUGGCAAUACAUGUCUACAUCAGUCAAAUAUGAACCGGAAUCAUACUCCUAAGCUCUUGUAGAUUCAGCAGAGUUGAACAGAAAGCUGAUCUUCCAUACUCUCUUUCCCCUACCCUUGGAAGCAGGUGGCAUGCUGCAGCUUUCCUCUGGGCAUUAUCAGCCUGGCUGAACAGGGAGCUGGUCUUUUUUCCCUCUCCUGGCAGGAGUAGGCGACAGUGAUCCAAUUUUCUCACAGGUGAAGUGUUAGGGAGACUGAAUAUGAAUUCUGCGUUCUCCACACAGUUGAAGCAGGCAGUGCUCAGAUUGUUCUACUGUGAUUGUGUUCUACUAUGAUAGCUGGGUCCACCGAUGCAUGAAGCUGCCAUCCCAACCAGCGGCCGUGAGAAUUAAUGAGAUGGUCCAGAAGGGGGCUUCACCCUCUCUGCUUCUGUCUUGUCAUGUCACCGGCGCCAAGUGGGUAGCUGAAAAUACUCAACCACCUAGACCUCACAUAAUACCUCAACAAAAGAACUGCCUGAAAAACUGAAAGAGAUUAAAUAGAUUGCGGAGUUUCAUAGUGUAGUAUCCAAAAAGUUCAGAAUGUUACUGACAAUCACUGAUCAUCCCAAGAACCAGGAAAAUUAACAGAAACAAAUUCCAAAAGGAAUUAGAGGUUGGAAUAUCUAAUAAGGAUUUUAAGGCAACCAUCCAAGGGCCUCAAUAAGCAAUUAUGAAUUCUCUUGAAACAAACGAUAAAUUAGAAAAUCUUGGCAAAGAAAGGAUAGUCAAGAUAAGUAAAAAUAUCUGUAUCAAUCUGCUUUCACACUGCUAUAAAGAACUGCCUGAGACUGAGUGAUUUAUAAAGAAAAUAGGUUUAAUUGACUCGUAGUUCUGCAUGGCUGAGAUGCCUCAGGAAACUUACAAUCAUGGCAGAAGGUGAAAGGGAAGCAGGCAUGGCUUGCGUGGUGGCAGAAGGAAGAGAGAAAGAAGUGGGAAGCACCUUUCUUUCAGACACGUAUCAAACUAUCAAAUCUCAUGAGAACUCACUUACUAUCAUGAGAACAGCAAGGGGAAAAUCCACCCCUGUGAGCCAAUCACCUCCCACCAGGUCCCUCCCUAGAUACACAGGGAUUACAAUUUGAGAUCAGACUUGGAUGGGGACACAGAGCCAAACCAUGUUAUUUGGCCCCUGGCCUCUCCAAAAUCUCAAGCCCUUUUCACAUUUCAGAGCCAAUCCCAACCAUCCCCCAAUGACUUAACUCAUUUCAGCAUUAACUCAAAAGUCCAAGCCCAGUCUCAUCUGAGACAAGGCAAAUCCCUUCUGCCUAUGAGCCUGUAAAAUUAAAAACAAUUUAGACACAAUGGGUGUCCAGGGAUUGGGUACAUUUUGCCAUUCACAAUGGGAGAAAUUGGCCCAAACAAAGGAGCCACAGAUCUUAUACAAGUCCAAAACCCAGUGGGGCAGUCAUUAAAUCUUAAAGCUCCAAAACCUUCUUUGGCUCUGUGAAAGGAAAAUUAAUUGUGAGGCCCUGAAAUCACCAAGCUAAAGGGAAAAGUCAAGCUGGGAACUUCUUAGGGCAAACCUGCCUCACACUCUAUUCAAAGUCACUCCUCUACUCACUGAUGUAGAUGCAUAUCUGAUUGCUUCCUUUGGAAAAGCUAAUAAAAAACUCAGAACAAAGUCUGUGACCUGGAAGCCCUCUCCCCACUUUGAGCCUUCCUGCCUUUGCUUCAAAUCGUCCCACCUUUCCAGACUGAACCAAUGUACUUCUUACGUAUAUUGAUUGAUGUCUAAUGUCUCCCUAAAAUGUAUAAAACUAAGCUAUGCCCCAACCCCCAGGGGCACAUGUCAUCAGGACUUCCUGAGGCUGUGUCAUGGGCAUGUCUUAACCUUGGCAAAAUAAACUUUCUAAAUUAACUGAGACCUGUCUUGGAUUUUUAGUGUUGACAACUCCAUGUCUUACAUCCAGGACAUGCUAAUUAAAGGCCUUGGGCAGGUCUGAACUCAUGGCUCUGCAGGGUACAGCACCCCGUGGCUGCUUUCAUAGGUAGGUGUUAAGUGCCUGCAGCUUUUCCAAGUGCCUGGUGCAAACUGUCAGUGAAUCUACCAUCCUUGGGUCUGGAGGAUUGUGGCCCUCUUCUCACAGCACCACUAGGCAAUGCCCCAGUGGGGACUCUGUAUGAGGGCUCCAUCCCCACAAUUCUUUUCUGCAUUGCCCUAGUAGAGGUUCUCCAUUAGGGUUCUGCCUCUGCAGCAGACUUUGGCCUGGAC